ACGACUGACUGUGGGGAGGAAAACCCAGAGAGCUACGUUACCAACAAGGGAGGCGGAAGAAUGAUUAAUUAUGGCAUUUGAUCAAGAAAACUAGAUAUGUGUAUACUGGAAAUCGAUUUGAGAGGAUGAAUCCAGGGAAAUGAAAUAAUCGAAGGAGAAGUUAUUAGAAGACAGAAAAGGGAAUCAGAAGAAGGAUAAGUCAGAAGGCAGAUGUAGGAAUUAAUAAAGAGAAAAACUGGGGAAAGGACUAAGGAGAAACGGUGGGCGACCUUUCCCCUGCCGCAGAAUAGACCGGAGAGGAAGAGCGCGGCGGAGGGAGGGAACCGAAUUAAUAAACAAAAAGAACAAAACCCGAUCCUUUUCGCCAGAGUCCGGACGGGCCUCUAUUACUUCUUUUAUUAGUUACUUAAUUAGCAAUAUUAAAGAUUCAUCCAAGGGUUAUUUAGGUUUUUUAAUAUUAAAUAUUUUUAAUUUUUAUUAUUUUUCUACAACCUCAUCCCAACCAACAUCCGAGUCUUCGACGUUAGGCUAAUGACGCAUUAAUGCUUCUGGUAAUUUGUCGACGACGUUCUGACCACCAUUAACGGCCCUCCAGUGAAUCUUUUGAGAAGUGCCAUAACUAGUUUUUUUAAUGAAAGAGCGCCAUUUAGUUAGUGGCCUCUUCUUUUCUUUUCAGAGGUCCAUGACAAGCCUACCUGGUUACUCUACUAUUGCAGACUGUACGUAUAGUCGUAUACCGUUUGCUUUUCUUCAUUUGCAUUCUACGAGAAACAGCAGAACAGAAAGAAAACUAGAGGCUGUACAAUGUUCCUGCUCCUCUUUCUAAGACAUAACAAAACUAUAUAUA
RNAcentral lists this long non-coding RNA (847 nucleotides) under Linum usitatissimum (flax). RNAcentral describes it as "long non-coding RNA (LUSI_LNC002106)". Lineage: Eukaryota; Viridiplantae; Streptophyta; Magnoliopsida; Malpighiales; Linaceae. The record is from RNAcentral.